CAUAGAUACGUAAGGUCAUAAUGCGCAAAUGGCAGAGAAUAGCGAAGGAGGGAGUAACAAAACAUCGUAAAAAGGUAUAAAACAUUAAAAUAUUAAAACGCACUGUAUAUGGUGAUUUAAAGGACUUAUAAUUUAAAAUAAAGUACUUGUUCUCCCUUUACUAGGAGGCCACUUUAUUAAGAAGGUAUUUCCACGAGGGCAGCAAUUCCUGUACUGGAUGGUCAUUUAGGAGACAGUCUUGGUCUGCUCUUGUAUAGAUCUCUAUAGAUUCUGCUGCGGUGGCAUGCUUUUGUUUUGCAAUGGCUUGUAUGACACAUGCUUCAGGCCAUUUUACUAUUAUGUCCUCUUCAUGUGCACUUCUCGCCAGGGCUGUGGAAACUUCACCUUUAACCAAGUCUUUCUUGUGCUCUUGCAAUUUUAUUUCUAAUGGCCUUGACGUAACACCUAUAUAUAUUUCCUCUUUAUUCUUCAUGUUGUUUACUGUGGGAAUCUUGUAUAUCUCUGCUUUUUGUCUCUUUUCUUCUAUCUUUUUUGUUCCUAAGGUAACCAUAGAUUGUAGGGUAUCUUUUGAAGGCAAUC
RNAcentral lists this long non-coding RNA (579 nucleotides) under Androctonus crassicauda. Lineage: Eukaryota; Metazoa; Arthropoda; Arachnida; Scorpiones; Buthidae. The record is from RNAcentral.